This 886-nucleotide ribosomal RNA is filed under the name Purpureocillium lilacinum. Its description in RNAcentral is "LSU rRNA". It matches the Rfam family "Eukaryotic large subunit ribosomal RNA", at positions 41 to 958 of the family's 3401-position model. The record is from RNAcentral. Lineage: Eukaryota; Fungi; Ascomycota; Sordariomycetes; Hypocreales; Ophiocordycipitaceae.
UAUCAAUAAGCGGAGGAAAAGAAACCAACAGGGAUUGCCCCAGUAACGGCGAGUGAAGCGGCAACAGCUCAAAUUUGAAAUCUGGCCCCCAGGGCCCGAGUUGUAAUUUGCAGAGGAUGCUUUUGGCGCGGUGCCUUCCGAGUUCCCUGGAACGGGACGCCAUAGAGGGUGAGAGCCCCGUCUGGUCGGACGCCUAGCCUGUGUAAAGCUCCUUCGACGAGUCGAGUAGUUUGGGAAUGCUGCUCUAAAUGGGAGGUAUAUUUCUUCUAAAGCUAAAUACCGGCCAGAGACCGAUAGCGCACAAGUAGAGUGAUCGAAAGAUGAAAAGCACUUUGAAAAGAGGGUUAAAUAGUACGUGAAAUUGUUGAAAGGGAAGCGCUUGUGACCAGACUUGGGCCCGGUGGAUCAUCCAGCGUUCUCGCUGGUGCACUCCGCCGGGUUCAGGCCAGCAUCAGUUCGCCGCGGGGGAAAAAGGCUUCGGGAACGUGGCUCCUACGGGAGUGUUAUAGCCCGUUGCAUAAUACCCUGGGGCGGACUGAGGUUCGCGCUCCGCAAGGAUGCUGGCGUAAUGGUCAUCAGCGACCCGUCUUGAAACACGGACCAAGGAGUCGUCUUCGUAUGCGAGUGUUCGGGUGUAAAACCCCUACGCGUAAUGAAAGUGAACGCAGGUGAGAGCUUCGGCGCAUCAUCGACCGAUCCUGAUGUUCUCGGAUGGAUUUGAGUAAGAGCAUACGGGGCCGGACCCGAAAGAAGGUGAACUAUGCCUGUAUAGGGUGAAGCCAGAGGAAACUCUGGUGGAGGCUCGCAGCGGUUCUGACGUGCAAAUCGAUCGUCAAAUAUGGGCAUGGGGGCGAAAGACUAAUCGAACCUUCUAGUAGCUGGUUUC